UACAGAGGGUGCAAGCGUUAAUCGGAGUUACUGGGCGUAAAGGGCGCGUAGGCGGUUGUUUAAGUUAGAUGUGAAAUCCCUGGGCUUAACCUAGGAACUGCAUCUGAUACUGGAUGACUAGAGUACUGUAGAGGGUAGUGGAAUUUCCGGUGUAGCGGUGAAAUGCGUAGAGAUCGGAAGGAACACCAGUGGCGAAGGCGGCUACCUGGACAGAUACUGACGCUGAGGCGCGAGAGCGUGGGGAGCAAACAGG
Molecule: ribosomal RNA, 253 nt
Filed under: uncultured bacterium
Lineage: Bacteria
Description: partial 16S ribosomal RNA
Rfam family: Bacterial small subunit ribosomal RNA
Source: RNAcentral